RNAcentral lists this ribosomal RNA (304 nucleotides) under uncultured Streptococcus sp. RNAcentral's name for it is "bacterial SSU rRNA". It matches the Rfam family "Bacterial small subunit ribosomal RNA", at positions 1077 to 1382 of the family's 1533-position model. Lineage: Bacteria; Bacillati; Bacillota; Bacilli; Lactobacillales; Streptococcaceae. The record is from RNAcentral.
GGGUUAAGUCCCGCAACGAGCGCAACCCUCGACCUUAGUUGUCAGCAUUCAGUUGGGCACUCUAAGGUGACUGCCGGCUAAAAGUCGGAGGAAGGUGGGGAUGACGUCAAAUCAUCAUGCCCCUUAUGACCUGGGCUACACACGUGCUACAAUGGUUGGUACAACGAGUUGCGAGUCGGUGACGGCGAGCUAAUCUCUUAAAGCCAAUCUCAGUUCGGAUUGUAGGCUGCAACUCGCCUACAUGAAGUCGGAAUCGCUAGUAAUCGCGGAUCAGCACGCCGCGGUGAAUACGUUCCCGGGCCUU